Molecule: long non-coding RNA, 1202 nt
Filed under: Anas platyrhynchos platyrhynchos (common mallard)
Lineage: Eukaryota; Metazoa; Chordata; Aves; Anseriformes; Anatidae
Description: lncRNA (ENSAPLG00000023098.1)
Source: RNAcentral
GUGCCUGUAAACUGUGAACACUAUGAAUAUGGCCAAUAUAAUAAAAAGAGCAGUCAGAUUUGAUGGAAACAUUGGUAAUCAGAUUUUCUAGUAAACUUUUGCAAGGAGUGUUUGUGCUCCUGUUCAGUAUAUAAUCAGGAGGUUGUGGUAUUGUACAGUCCCAUUUCCAGCAAAGUUACAUUCAACUGCAUCUGGUUUCUCCGUGUCUUCAUUCAAAAAAUAUGACAGUCAGAACAAGAGCGUAGCAGUGACACAAAGCAUGGGGACAUUUCAAAAGUCUGGCAGGUCAUCUUCAGUAAUUGAUCAUAAUUAUAGCCUUUUUUUUCUGAAAUUUGUUAAGCUGGUUGAUUUUUGCCAUCAUUUUCAUGAGUUUCAUGGGGUAAGAAUGUGUGGUAGGAAGACUGGGUAUGGGUAAAUAGAAAACAGAUUGUGGAUCAGCAUUCUCUGUGGAAACAUUUUACUAAAUUUUACUUAUUUUAGUAUCAAGGAUUUGGUAAUGUGGUUCUGAGCAUAAACCAUCUGGGCAGAAGUUAAUAAAGUAGAUUUUUAAAUGUCAAGUAUUUAUAGAAAUUACAGAUUAGAUUACAUGUAAUUGACUACGUCCUUUAGAUUGACAAGUUAGGAUGAUCUUAUUUUCAAUAACCUUUUAUGUUUAAGGCAUUUCUUUAAUGGUUUGAGUUGCAGUUUAAAAAUAGAAAGUCUAUGCAUGUGCUUCUGCUUGCUAGGGUACUGCAAACUUGAUUUCUGAGGUUGCUGACAGCUUCUGAAAGAUUUAGGAACUGUCAGCAGGAAACAUUCCCAUAGAAUCUGUACUGUGAACUCUUUCUGGAAAAACAGCAUCAUUUAACAGACAUCCAGCACCCUUCAUCAAAGCACAGUGCUCUCAGAGGCCGUGGUGUAACCUACGUGGAGCGGGGUGUUCCCUCCCACCCACAGAUGUGCCCUCCUGCUGCCUCCCCUGCAUGGGUGCUGCAGCUCAUGUGGCUGCACAGCUGAGACAGACACAGCCACCAAUCCUUCUGGAAACCAACCCAGCCCAGCAAAGAUUUGUCUCCAGCCAGAUACCUGAUGUAUUACUUCAGCACCAAAUUCAACAAGGCCAAGAUGUCUUCAUUUUCGUUCAGAGCAAGAACUGUAGGAGCAGUGUGAUGGAAGUAUUGGUCUUCUGCGGCCAGCCGGCGAGAACCCAUCAACAGCUGUGA